AUGCAAGUCGAACGGGGUUUGGUUGAAAGCCUAGCUUUUGACUAAACCUAGUGGCGGACGGGUGAGUAACGCGUGGGCAACCUACCCUACAGACCGGGAUACCAUCGGGAAACUGAUGUUAAUACCGAAUACACUUAGUAUAACGCAUGUUGUAUUAAGGAAAGAUUUUAUCGCUGUAGGAUGGGCCUGCGUUCCAUUAGCUAGUUGGUAGGGUAACGGCCUACCAAGGCGACGAUGCGUAGCCGACCUGAGAGGGUGAUCGGCCACACUGGGACUGAGACACGGCCCAGACUCCUACGGGAGGCAGCAGUAGGGAAUCUUCCGCAAUGGACGAAAGUCUGACGGAGCAACACCGCGUGAGCGAUGAAGGCCUUCGGGUCGUAAAGCUCUGUUGUUAGGGAAGAACAAGUGCUAUUCGAAUAGGGUGGCACCUUGACGGUACCUAACGAGAAAGCCACGGCUAACUACGUGCCAGCAGCCGCGGUAAUACGUAGGUGGCAAGCGUUGUCCGGAAUUAUUGGGCGUAAAGCGCGCGCAGGCGGUCUCUUAAGUCUGAUGUGAAAGCCCACGGCUCAACCGUGGAGGGUCAUUGGAAACUGGGAGACUUGAGUACAGAAGAGGAGAGUGGAAUUCCAUGUGUAGCGGUGAAAUGCGUAGAUAUAUGGAGGAACACCAGUGGCGAAGGCGACUCUCUGGUCUGUAACUGACGCUGAGGCGCGAAAGCGUGGGGAGCAAACAGGAUUAGAUACCCUG
Molecule: ribosomal RNA, 753 nt
Filed under: uncultured bacterium
Lineage: Bacteria
Description: bacterial SSU rRNA
Rfam family: Bacterial small subunit ribosomal RNA
Source: RNAcentral